UACGGAGGAUCCGAGCGUUAUCCGGAUUUAUUGGGUUUAAAGGGUGCUCAGGCGGGCCAUUAAGUCGGCGGUGAAAUUUUGCGGCUCAACCGUAAAAGUGCCUUCGAUACUGGUGGUCUUGAGUGUGGAUGAGGUAGGCGGAAUUUGUGGUGUAGCGGUGAAAUGCAUAGAUAUCACGAGGAACUCCGAUUGCGCAGGCAGCUUACUAAACUACUACUGACGCUCAGGCACGAAGGCGUGGGGAUCAAACAGGAUUAGAUACCCCGGUAGU
This 271-nucleotide ribosomal RNA is filed under the name uncultured prokaryote. RNAcentral's name for it is "partial 16S ribosomal RNA". It matches the Rfam family "Bacterial small subunit ribosomal RNA", at positions 524 to 794 of the family's 1533-position model. The record is from RNAcentral.